UACGUAGGGGGCAAGCGUUGUCCGGAAUCAUUGGGCGUAAAGAGCGUGUAGGCGGCCCGAUAAGUCCGCCGUGAAAGUCCAGGGCUCAACCCUGGGAUGCCGGUGGAAACUGUCGGGCUAGAGUCCGGAAGAGGCGAGUGGAAUUCCUGGUGUAGCGGUGAAAUGCGCAGAUAUCAGGAGGAACACCAAUGGCGAAGGCAGCUCGCUGGGACGGUACUGACGCUGAGGCGCGAAAGCGUGGGGAGCAAACAGG
Molecule: ribosomal RNA, 253 nt
Filed under: uncultured bacterium
Lineage: Bacteria
Description: partial 16S ribosomal RNA
Rfam family: Bacterial small subunit ribosomal RNA
Source: RNAcentral